This 464-nucleotide ribosomal RNA is filed under the name Vreelandella stevensii. RNAcentral describes it as "partial 16S ribosomal RNA". It matches the Rfam family "Bacterial small subunit ribosomal RNA", at positions 338 to 795 of the family's 1533-position model. The record is from RNAcentral. Lineage: Bacteria; Pseudomonadati; Pseudomonadota; Gammaproteobacteria; Oceanospirillales; Halomonadaceae.
CCUACGGCGUGCAGCAGUGGGGAAUAUUGGACAAUGGGCGAAAGCCUGAUCCAGCCAUGCCGCGUGUGUGAAGAAGGCCUUCGGGUUGUAAAGCACUUUCAGUGGGGAAGAAAGCCUUGGGGCUAAUACCCUCGAGGAAGGACAUCACCCACAGAAGAAGCACCGGCUAACUCCGUGCCAGCAGCCGCGGUAAUACGGAGGGUGCGAGCGUUAAUCGGAAUUACUGGGCGUAAAGCGCGCGUAGGCGGUCUGAUAAGCCGGUUGUGAAAGCCCCGGGCUCAACCUGGGAACGGCAUCCGGAACUGUCAGGCUAGAGUGCAGGAGAGGAAGGUAGAAUUCCCGGUGUAGCGGUGAAAUGCGUAGAGAUCGGGAGGAAUACCAGUGGCGAAGGCGGCCUUCUGGACUGACACUGACGCUGAGGUGCGAAAGCGUGGGUAGCAAACAGGAUUAGAUACCCGGUAGUC